Molecule: ribosomal RNA, 697 nt
Filed under: uncultured bacterium
Lineage: Bacteria
Description: bacterial SSU rRNA
Rfam family: Bacterial small subunit ribosomal RNA
Source: RNAcentral
UAGAGUUUGAUCCUGGCUCAGGAUGAACGCUGGCGGCGUGCCUAAUACAUGCAAGUCGAGCGAACGGACGAGAAGCUUGCUUCUCUGAUGUUAGCGGCGGACGGGUGAGUAACACGUGGAUAACCUACCUAUAAGACUGGGAUAACUUCGGGAAACCGGAGCUAAUACCGGAUAAUAUUUUGAACCGCAUGGUUCAAAAGUAAAAGACGGUCUUGCUGUCACUUAUAGAUGGAUCCGCGCUGCAUUAGCUAGUUGGUAAGGUAACGGCUUACCAAGGCAACGAUGCAUAGCCGACCUGAGAGGGUGAUCGGCCACACUGGAACUGAGACACGGUCCAGACUCCUACGGGAGGCAGCAGUAGGGAAUCUUCCGCAAUGGGCGAAAGCCUGACGGAGCAACGCCGCGUGAGUGAUGAAGGUCUUCGGAUCGUAAAACUCUGUUAUUAGGGAAGAACAUAUGUGUAAGUAACUGUGCACAUCUUGACGGUACCUAAUCAGAAAGCCACGGCUAACUACGUGCCAGCAGCCGCGGUAAUACGUAGGUGGCAAGCGUUAUCCGGAAUUAUUGGGCGUAAAGCGCGCGUAGGCGGUUUUUUAAGUCUGAUGUGAAAGCCCACGGCUCAACCGUGGAGGGUCAUUGGAAACUGGAAAACUUGAGUGCAGAAGAGGAAAGUGGAAUUCCAUGUGUAGCGGUGAAA